This 507-nucleotide ribosomal RNA is filed under the name uncultured bacterium. Its description in RNAcentral is "bacterial SSU rRNA". It matches the Rfam family "Bacterial small subunit ribosomal RNA", at positions 18 to 518 of the family's 1533-position model. The record is from RNAcentral.
CCUGGCUCAGGAUGAACGCUAGCGGCAGGCUUAACACAUGCAAGUCGAGGGGCAUCGGGAGUAGCAAGUACUUGCCGGCGACCGGCGCAAGGGUGCGUAACGCGUGAGCAACAUGCCCGUAUCAGGGGGAUAAUCCAUGGAAACGUGGUCUAAUACCCCAUAGUAAUUAUGUAAGGCAUCUUAUAUAAUUUAAAGCUUGGUGGAUACGGAUUGGCUCGCGUGACAUUAGCUGGAUGGUAAGGUAACGGCUUACCAUGGCUACGAUGUCUAGGGGUUCUGAGAGGAAGGUCCCCCCACACUGGAACUGAGACACGGUCCAGACUCCUACGGGAGGCAGCAGUGAGGAAUAUUGGACAAUGGAUGGAAAUCUGAUCCAGCCAUGCCGCGUGCAGGAAAGACGGCCCUAUGGGUUGUAAACUGCUUUUGUAUGGGAGCAAUAAGGGCUACGUGUAGUCCGAUGAGAGUACCAUACGAAUAAGCACCGGCUAACUCCGUGCCAGCAGCCGC